This 245-nucleotide ribosomal RNA is filed under the name uncultured Prevotella sp. Its description in RNAcentral is "partial 16S ribosomal RNA". It matches the Rfam family "Bacterial small subunit ribosomal RNA", at positions 524 to 768 of the family's 1533-position model. Lineage: Bacteria; Pseudomonadati; Bacteroidota; Bacteroidia; Bacteroidales; Prevotellaceae. The record is from RNAcentral.
UACGGAAGGUCCGGGCGUUAUCCGGAUUUAUUGGGUUUAAAGGGAGCGCAGGCUGGCUGUUAAGCGUGCCGUGAAAUGUACCGGCUCAACCGGUGACUUGCGGCGCGAACUGGCGGUCUUGAGUGCGUGCGAGGAUGGCGGAAUUCGUGGUGUAGCGGUGAAAUGCUUAGAUAUCACGAAGAACUCCGAUUGCGAAGGCAGCUGUCCAGUCCGUAACUGACGCUAAUGCUCGAAGGUGCGGGUAU